CCUACGGGAGGCUGCAGUGGGGAAUAUUGCACAAUGGGGGAAACCCUGAUGCAGCGACGCCGCGUGAAGGAAGAAGUAUUGCGGGAUGUAAACUUCUAUCAGCAGGGAAGAAAAGGACGGUACCUGACGAAGAAGCCCCGGCGAACUACGGGCCAGCAGCCGCGGUAAUACGGAGGGGGCAAGCGUUCUCCGGAUUUACGGGGUGUAAAGGGAGCGGAGGCGGGUUCGCAAGUCAGAAGUGAAAGCCCGGGGCUCAACUCCGGGACGGCUUUUGAAACUGUUGAACUAGAUUGCAGGAGAGGUCAGUGGCAUUCCUCGUGUAGCGGUUCAAUGCGUAGAUAUUAGGAGGCACACCAGUGGC
This 361-nucleotide ribosomal RNA is filed under the name uncultured bacterium. RNAcentral describes it as "partial 16S ribosomal RNA". It matches the Rfam family "Bacterial small subunit ribosomal RNA", at positions 338 to 716 of the family's 1533-position model. The record is from RNAcentral.